RNAcentral lists this ribosomal RNA (301 nucleotides) under uncultured bacterium. Its description in RNAcentral is "partial 16S ribosomal RNA". It matches the Rfam family "Bacterial small subunit ribosomal RNA", at positions 509 to 807 of the family's 1533-position model. The record is from RNAcentral.
CAGUCGCCGCGGGAAUACGUAGGGUGCAAGCGUUAAUCGGAAUUACUGGGCGUAAAGCGUGCGCAGGCGGUUCGCUAAGACAGAUGUGAAAUCCCCGGGCUUAAUCUGGGAACUGCAUUUGUGACUGGCGGGCUAGAGUAUGGCAGAGGGGUGUAGAAUUCCACGUGUAGCAGUGAAAUGCGUAGAGAUGUGGAGGAAUACCGAUGGCGAAGGCAGCCCCCUGGGCCAAUACUGACGCUCAUGCACGAAAGCGUGGGGAGCAAACAGGAUUAGAUACCCCCGUAGUCCCUGUCUCUUAUAC